Molecule: ribosomal RNA, 885 nt
Filed under: Arizonaphlyctis lemmonensis
Lineage: Eukaryota; Fungi; Chytridiomycota; Chytridiomycetes; Rhizophlyctidales; Arizonaphlyctidaceae
Description: eukaryotic LSU rRNA
Rfam family: Eukaryotic large subunit ribosomal RNA
Source: RNAcentral
GCUCAAAUUUGAAAUCUCGUUGGUCCGCCAGCGCGAAUUGUAGUUUAGAGAAACGUUUUCGGGAGGGGCGUGGGCAUAAGUCCUUUGGAACGAGGCAUCAUAGAGGGUGAGAAUCCCGUUUAUGGUCCACUGUUCCCUCCUAUGUGAUACGUUUUCCACGAGUCGGUUUGUUUGGGAAUGCAGACCAAAAUGGGUGGUAAAUACCAUCUAAAGCUAAAUAUUGGCGAGAGACCGAUAGCGAACAAGUACCGUGAGGGAAAGAUGAAAAGAACUUUGAAAAGAGAGUUAAACAGUACGUGAAAUUGUCAAAAGGGAAACGCUUGGAACCAGUAUUGCCGGCAGGUAAUCAGCCGUGUCACAAGCACGGUGCACUUGCCUGCUGGCAGGUCAGCAUCAGUUUGGCUUGAGGUAAAAAGCCAGGAGAAGGUGGCCCGGGGUUCGCUCUGGGUGUUAUAGCUCCUGGUCAUGCCUUGGGCUGGACUGAGGAAUGCAGCGUUUUUUGGGUUACCGGUAGCCUCCUGAUUGCCCUCCGUAGACAGCUUGCUGAUUGCGGGUGGAAGUAGGGAGCUCUGUCGGGAUUCCACACCAACGCUUAGGAUGCUGACGAAAUGGUUUUAAACGACCCGUCUUGAAACACGGACCAAGGAGUCUAACAUAUAUGCGAGUAUUUGGGUGUCAAACCCUUAUGCGUAAUGAAAGUGAACUUAGGUGGGAUCUUCGGUGCACCAUCGACCGGUCUGGAUUUUUUUGAUAGAUCUGAGUAAGAGCAUAUCUGUUGGGACCCGAAAGAUGGUGAAUCUAUGCCUGAAUAGGGUGAAGCCAGAGGAAACUCUGGUGGAGGCUCGUAGCGAUUCUGACCGUGCAAAUCGAUCGUCAAAUUUGGGU